UACGGAGGGAGCGAGAGGUGGUCGGAAUUACUGGGCGUAAAGCGCACGUAGGCGGCUUUUUAAGUCAGAGGUGAAAGCCCGGGGCUCAACCCCGGAACUGCCUUUGAAACUGGAGAGCUAGAAUCUUGGAGAGGCGAGUGGAAUUCCGAGUGUAGAGGUGAAAUUCGUAGAUAUUCGGAAGAACACCAGUGGCGAAGGCGACUCGCUGGACAAGUAUUGACGCAGAGGUGCGAAAGCGUGGGGAGCAAACAGG
RNAcentral lists this ribosomal RNA (253 nucleotides) under uncultured bacterium. Its description in RNAcentral is "partial 16S ribosomal RNA". It matches the Rfam family "Bacterial small subunit ribosomal RNA", at positions 524 to 776 of the family's 1533-position model. The record is from RNAcentral.